RNAcentral lists this ribosomal RNA (537 nucleotides) under uncultured Acidobacteriota bacterium. RNAcentral's name for it is "bacterial SSU rRNA". It matches the Rfam family "Bacterial small subunit ribosomal RNA", at positions 8 to 524 of the family's 1533-position model. Lineage: Bacteria; Pseudomonadati; Acidobacteriota. The record is from RNAcentral.
AGAGUUUGAUCGUGGCUCAGAAUCAACGCUGGCGGCGUGCCUAACACAUGCAAGUCGAACGCGGAAGGGGAGCAAUCCCUGAGUAGAGUGGCAAACGGGUGAGUAACACGUGGGUGACCUGCCUCAGAGUGGGGGAUAACGACCCGAAAGGGUCGCUAAUACCGCAUAACAUCCUGCCUUUGGAAAGGUGGAGAUCAAAGCCGGGGAUCGCAAGACCUGGCGCUUAGAGAGGGGCCCGCGGCCGAUUAGCUAGUUGGUAGGGUAAUGGCCUACCAAGGCGACGAUCGGUAUCCGGCCUGAGAGGGCGGACGGACACACUGGGACUGAGACACGGCCCAGACUCCUACGGGAGGCAGCAGUGGGGAAUUGUUCGCAAUGGGCGCAAGCCUGACGACGCAACGCCGCGUGGAGGAUGAAGAUCUUCGGGUCGUAAACUCCUUUCGAUCGGGAAGAACGUUUUCGGAGUUAACAGCUUCGAGAAGUGACGGUACCGAGAGAAGAAGCCCCGGCUAACUCUGUGCCAGCCGCCGCCGUAAC